This 520-nucleotide ribosomal RNA is filed under the name uncultured bacterium. RNAcentral describes it as "bacterial SSU rRNA". It matches the Rfam family "Bacterial small subunit ribosomal RNA", at positions 991 to 1510 of the family's 1533-position model. The record is from RNAcentral.
CUGACCGGCGAGUAAUGUCGCCCUUCCUACGGGACAGGGGAGACAGGUGGUGCAUGGUUGUCGUCAGCUCGUGUCGUGAGAUGUUGGGUUAAGUCCCGCAACGAGCGCAACCCCUAUCUUCAGUAGCCAGCAUCAAGGAUGGGCACUCUGGAGGGACUGCCAGGGACAACCUGGAGGAAGGUGGGGAUGACGUCAAAUCAUCAUGCCCCUUAUGACCAGGGCUACACACGUGCUACAAUGGCGUAAACAAAGGGAAGCGAACAUGUGAGUGCGAGCAAAUCCCAGAAAUAACGUCUCAGUUCGGAUUGUAGUCUGCAACUCGACUACAUGAAGCUGGAAUCGCUAGUAAUCGCGAAUCAGAAUGUCGCGGUGAAUACGUUCCCGGGUCUUGUACACACCGCCCGUCACACCAUGGGAGUCAGUAACGCCCGAAGUCAGUGACCCAACCGUAACCGGAGGGAGCUGCCGAAGGUGGGACCGAUAACUGGGGUGAAGUCGUAACAAGGUAGCCGUAUCGGAA